CCUACGGGAGGCAGCAGUGGGGAAUUUUGGACAAUGGGCGAAAGCCUGAUCCAGCAAUGCCGCGUGAGUGAAGAAGGCCUUCGGGUUGUAAAGCUCUUUUGUCAGGGAAGAAACGGUGAGAGCUAAUAUCUCUUGCUAAUGACGGUACCUGAAGAAUAAGCACCGGCUAACUACGUGCCAGCAGCCGCGGUAAUACGUAGGGUGCAAGCGUUAAUCGGAAUUACUGGGCGUAAAGCGUGCGCAGGCGGUUUUGUAAGUCUGAUGUGAAAUCCCCGGGCUCAACCUGGGAAUUGCAUUGGAGACUGCAAGGCUAGAAUCUGGCAGAGGGGGGUAGAAUUCCACGUGUAGCAGUGAAAUGCGUAGAUAUGUGGAGGAACACCGAUGGCGAAGGCAGCCUCCUGGGUCAAGAUUGACGCUCAUGCACGAAAGCGUGGGGAGCAAACAGGAUUAGAUACCCUGGUAGUCCACGCCCUAAACGAUGUCUACUAGUUGUCGGGUCUUAAUUGACUUGGUAACGCAGCUACGCGUGAAGUGACCGCCUGGGGAGUACGGUCGCAGAUUAAACUCAAAGGAAUUGAGG
RNAcentral lists this ribosomal RNA (580 nucleotides) under uncultured bacterium. RNAcentral's name for it is "bacterial SSU rRNA". It matches the Rfam family "Bacterial small subunit ribosomal RNA", at positions 338 to 915 of the family's 1533-position model. The record is from RNAcentral.